UGCUAAUACAUGCAAGUCGAACGCUGGAGAUCUAGCUUGCUAGAUUGAAGGAGUGGCGAACGGGUGAGUAAUACAUAAGCAACCUACCCACGAAGACUGGGAUAAUCUCUGGAAACGGGGACUAAUACCGGAUAGGUAAUCGGAAGGCAUCUUCUGAUUAUUAAAGGUUAAAAACACUGGUGGAUGGGCUUAUGGCGCAUUAGUUAGUUGGUGAGGUAACGGCCCACCAAGACGAUGAUGCGUAGCCGGCCUGAGAGGGUGAACGGCCACAUUGGGACUGAGACACGGCCCAGACUCCUACGGGAGGCAGCAGUAGGGAAUUUUCGGCAAUGGGGGAAACCCUGACCGAGCAACGCCGCGUGAGUGAUGACGGCCUUCGGGUUGUAAAGCUCUGUUGUAAGGGAAGAACGGUAGAUAGAGAAUAUCUAAGUGACGGUACCUUACCAGAAAGCCACGGCUAACUACGUGCCAGCAGCCGCGGUAAUACGUAGGUGGCGAGCGUUAUCCGGAAUUAUUGGGCGUAAAGGGUGCGUAGGCGGCCUGUUAAGUAAGUGGUUAAAUUGUUGGGCUCAACCCAAUCCAGCCACUUAAACUGGCAGGCUAGAGUAUUGGAGAGGCAAGUGGAAUUCCAUGUGUAGCGGUAAAAUGCGUAGAUAUAUGGAGGAACACCAGUGGCGAAGGCGGCUUGCUAGCCAAAGACUGACGCUCAUGCACGAAAGCGUGGGGAGCAAAUAGGAUUAGAUACCCUAGUAGUCCACGCCGUAAACGAUGAAUACUAAGUAUUGGGGAAACUCAGUGCUGCAGCUAACGCAAUAAGUAUUCCGCCUGUGGA
This 832-nucleotide ribosomal RNA is filed under the name uncultured Bulleidia sp. RNAcentral's name for it is "bacterial SSU rRNA". It matches the Rfam family "Bacterial small subunit ribosomal RNA", at positions 45 to 879 of the family's 1533-position model. Lineage: Bacteria; Bacillati; Bacillota; Erysipelotrichia; Erysipelotrichales; Erysipelotrichaceae. The record is from RNAcentral.